Molecule: ribosomal RNA, 497 nt
Filed under: uncultured bacterium
Lineage: Bacteria
Description: partial 16S ribosomal RNA
Rfam family: Bacterial small subunit ribosomal RNA
Source: RNAcentral
GAUGAACGCUGGCGGCGUGCCUAAUACAUGCAAGUCGAGCGAACGGACGAGAAGCUUGCUUCUCUGAUGUUACCGGCGGACGGGUGAGUAACACGUGGAUAACCUACCUAUAAGACUGGGAUAACUUCGGGAAACCGUAGCUAAUACCGGAUAAUAUUUUGAACCGCAUGGUUCAAAAGUGAAAGACGGUCUUGCUGACACUUAUAGAUGGAUCCGCGCUGCAUUAGCUAGUUGGUAAGGUAACGGCUUACCAAGGCAACGAUGCAUAGCCGACCUGUGAGGGUGAUCGGCCACACUGGAACUGAGACACGGUCCAGACUCCUACGGGAGGCAGCAGUAGGGAAUCUUCCGCAAUGGGCGAAAGCCUGACGGAGCAACGCCGCGUGAGUGAUGAAGGUCUUCGGAUCGUAAAACUCUGUUAUUAGGGAAGAACAUAUGUGUAAGUAACUGUGCACAUCUUGACGGUACCUAAUCAGAAAGCCACGGCUAACUACGUG